Piliocolobus tephrosceles (Ugandan red Colobus) is the source of this 779-nucleotide RNA transcript. It is a transcript of the gene named testis expressed 29, with no coding region annotated. The record is from RefSeq and is a predicted model, not a curated record. The transcript is spliced from 5 exons. NCBI's taxonomy places the organism in Eukaryota, Metazoa, Chordata, Mammalia, Primates, Cercopithecidae.
CCUGAGACCAGUCACCCAUUGCAGGCCCCUCUGAGCCUGGCUCUAUAGGACCUGCCUGCUGCUGUGGGGCCUCUCCCGGCCUCCCCCGACUGCUCCCCACGUGGGAGUCAGCGCAAACCACACACAGCCACCCUAUGCAACUGAGGGAGGAUAGGGUGGCAGCAGCCGGUGACUUUGGCCUGCCCUGUGCACUCUACCUUGGCAGGUGGAGCAUCGCCUCGGCAGGGCUCCCGUGUCCAGGACACUUCUGACAGAGGUGUGUGACAUUCCUCUGCAUGACAUUUGUGACUACAACGUCUCCAGGGACCGAUGCAAGGAGCUCGGGUGCUGCUUCUACAAAGGCGUCUGCUAUGAGAAAGCAGUUCCCAUUUACGUCCAUGUGUUCUCCGCCUUGAUUGUGAUCAUCGCUGGGGCCUUCGUCAUCACCAUCAUCUACAGAGUCGUUCAGGAGAGCAGGAGACAAAGGGCCAUUCCGACGGAUGUCGUGCUGCCACAGAAGUCCAGCGAAAAGGCGGAGGUGGCCUCAUCCAGCAGCAAGUUAGGGCUGAAGCCUCCGAGUCCUGGGCCUCCGAGUGCUGGGCCCUCAAUGAAGAGUGACGCGGACAAGGAUGAUGUAACAGUGACAAUAGCAGAAGCCGAAGAAACUGAGGACUGACUGAAAUGCAUGAAGAAGUGGAGAUUGGCAGAAUUAUCCAAAUGAAAUGAUACAGCAGGUGCACUGUUAACAGUGUGAUGGAAUGACCUCCCAAUGAGAAAAAAAUAAAGGUAUUUUGAAAAUU